UAGACUGGACCCCAGAGUCUAUGUCAUUCAAAAAGCCACAUCUCCAAUUAUCCAAGGUUAAUUCUAAUUACUCCUAAUUACUCUAGUUAACCUAAUUUACACCUAAUUUUACCCUGCAGCCACAUCCACCCACUCCCCCUUUCAGCACUGCCGAACCUAUCAUCUUUGGGAGUCUUCUUCGACUACCACCGUCAAAUGUGCUUAGCGCCUCUGGUGAUUCCAUCAGCCACCAACCUAGUUGUUUCUGGGAAUCAGCUUCGCGUCGCCGCCACCGCUACAUGUCACCUUCGACGAUCCAUUGAAGACGCAUCCACUCCACCGAGGUAACUUUUGACGGCACCUAGUGUUGCUCUGCCUUCAUUUACGCCGUGGUGGAAGUGUCCUUGCAUCGCUGAUGCACUAGCAAGCGCCGCUACUGUUCGCCCUGAACAACCCUUGACAGCGAUGCUCCCAUCCUCGCUUCCAAGACGCCUCCCACAAGGUGUCCCUCCUCCGCUGCCGUCACCGCGUUCACAGUUAAUAAACAAGUUUUGGUAAGAUAUCAUCAAAGCAGACAAAAUCAUCCAACGGGUUUUGUCAUGUGAAUUUGUUGAGGGUAGGACUGUCGGGCUUCCUAUUAGUCUACAAAUGAUUGGUGGAGCAUCUGGUGAGUCUUGCAGGAAAAGCUUCUGAGAAUGGGACAUAUCUUUGACCAGACACUUGAAAAUUACAAAUUUCUUCCACCAAUUAUAGCCGAAGACAAGCUAGUAUAAAUGAUCCUUCUAUCUUUCGGCGAUCCAUAAAAAGUUACAUUAAUUCAUGACAAUAUGGUGGUUGAAGGAUUCAGUACUAUAUGUUGGUGGCCAGUGGCGGAUUCAAGGGGGCCUAAGGUGGCCAUGGUCCCCCCAAUUUUUUUUUUU
Non-coding RNA from Arachis ipaensis, 899 nucleotides. Lineage: Eukaryota; Viridiplantae; Streptophyta; Magnoliopsida; Fabales; Fabaceae. The record is from RefSeq and is a predicted model, not a curated record.